Lethenteron reissneri (Far Eastern brook lamprey) is the source of this 7812-nucleotide long non-coding RNA. RefSeq lists it as uncharacterized. The record is from RefSeq and is a predicted model, not a curated record. NCBI's taxonomy places the organism in Eukaryota, Metazoa, Chordata, Hyperoartia, Petromyzontiformes, Petromyzontidae.
AAAGGGAGACCGGGGAGACUUGGUUCGUACUGGUUUGGGCAUCGUGGUGGGAGGGCAGGGGAGGGACGCCUCGUCCCCAUGUCCCCUGCCUCUUAAAUAGACACCGGCGUGCCGAGUGUCCCCCCAUCCGUGGCUCAGAGAGAGAGAGAGAGCAGGGGGGUGGGGGGCAAAGGGGGUAACACGGAUCAACGUCAUAGCUAGGGGGGUAGGGGGGGCAGCCCAGAAGCAAUAACAACUCGUGGGCUCGCUUGGAGACCAGAAGACGAGAGACGCGGAGGGUGAGGGGCACGCUGUGAUCCAAGCCCUGCUGCCUCACCUGCGCCUGCGAUGGUGAAGCGGUUCAGCCGUUUGACCCCCGGCUACUUUCGCCUGCUGCAGCUGCAGACCCAGUCGGCACAGGAGCUGGCGUGCGGGCACGCUGAAACCCGCACCAACCGCGCCGCCUUGAUGCUCAGCCUCCUGGGCCUGGCGCUCAGCUCCUACAGCCUCAAGCGCAUGCGAGCGCUGCAGCUCACGAGCGAAGAGUAAUGGCUUGCCCGCUCGCCCACUCGCUCGCUCGCUCGCACGCACGGUACCGUCUCUCCUCCUGGAGAUCGACCCUUGUGUCAAUGACUACUUGACUGCGACGACAGCGACGCUGUUGUCGCCGCUGUAACAAUUCUCCAAUCAACCCCAAACCCCCCCCCACCCUCCCCGGAUCCUGUUCCGGGGAGGGUGGGGGGGGGGCGGGUGGGAGGUGGCAGGUAUCAUAUUUUCUGUAGCUCAGCCCCAAACGGCUCCGGGUGAAAUUAAGCCCUGAUUUAAUUAAUGCAAUUUCUAUUUUUGUAUCCCCACCCUACCCCCCCGCUCAAAUUAGCAUUGGGCAGGGCUCAUCUCUGUUAGGAUACUUAAGUCACUGGUGUGGAAAUUCCACAUUGACUUGUCUCCCCAUAGGAUGACCAUAGUUGAACUAUCAUAGAUCCAUAAAGAAAACACGUUGCCUAUUACUGCAACAUUAAUUACCAGCGAGGCUUCUGUGGAUGUCGAUGCACUGUGUUGAGGCUUGCAAGGCAGUGUGGGGUUUUUUUUUUGCCAAAAUUCUAUGCAGCUUAGACACUUACCUUUUUUUUUAUGCCAGCAAUGCAAAUCAUAUUCCUUAGAAAUGGAAUGAUUAGACAUGUUAAUUAUGUUCUGUAAAAUGUUAGAAAAUGAAAAUUAUCCACAAUGCUUAAGCAAUUCAGGUUGCAUGCAGCCUUCAAUAUAAAUCAAAUGUAAAUGAUACGAUAGCCACAGCAACAAUUCUGCAUUUAGACAAUAAACAUCCACAUAUUGCAUUGGCACUUUAUUGGGCUUCCUCAAUGUAGCAGAGGGGACUCAAAUUCACAUCUUGACGAAACAGCUGGAAAACAAAUUACUCCAUCUUUUCUGAAAUAUACAUUGAAUAAAAAACACAUUGUCUAACAUGUAGAUCAAGCUCUGUGUGUGUGUGUGUGCAAGAACAUAUAUGCACACACAAAGCAUUCUGGUUGCUGUGUUUGUUUAAGAUUGGGUGUGCAGUUUUUAUUUGUAUGUAGAGUUUUAUUUCCGGUUUUUUUCUGGCUGUCUCUGUGAUUUUGUGAACAAGAAAUGAUUAACUCUCACCUGAUUAAAUAAAGGGCAUUUAAUGCCAUUGAACUUGUACGAGACAUCGUAAUGCAACACUCACAUGGCUGAAUAAGGACAUUGGAUGGAAUUGUGGACACCAAAGUGAAAACACAUGGCCUGAGUAAACUAAAAGCAGUUGUUUCAGUCCCUGCUUAAUUCCUGCAUACACAGAGCUAAACUACUCGUACGUUUCUGCCUUAUGAGAGUCCUCUUGAACCGUUAAGAAUGCAAUGUCCCUCUGCUAAACCAUGACAGGCGUGCAGAAGACGGAAUGCGAAGUCACGAGGCUUUGCACUGGGUCACGUGUUACAGACAAAUGGGGCAUGAGGGCGCUAUUCUGGCAGGUAAAAGCAGCGUGAACCAGCCAGUGGUCACCUCAAACACAACCCUCGGCACGAUGAAUCGGCAACGGCAACCAAACACUGCACGGAGAUGUUUUUAAUUGGCCAAACAAAUAAUGUUUACAUUCAACCUGGCGUUCUAUAACUUAACCCGGUUAAGUUAUUGAGAUUGACGGUCUCUCUAGCAAUAAAGGCCUGCGGGAUAAUUGUGUUGAUAUUCAAAAUUUCGAAUUUGUGGAUAUUGUACCGGCACUCGGUGACGUUUCCUCGUGAAUGACGUCAUAGUGUCAUGAACACGCUCUCGACGGCGGACGGCCUUUGCUUAUAGCUGCUAAUAUCUCGCGAAGACUACCACGCAACUGCACGAAGUCGAAUCAUUAAUGGGCCGAGUGCAAGCCAGCGCAGUUUGUGAGCUCGCGAACCGGUCUGCUACUCGGCGGGCUAUUUGUCAUCGUAAGAGCCAAUACAUCAUCGACCAAACCCUAAUGGUGUUACGUCUCUGCAAUCACGAUAUGCGGGUGAGCCACUGGCAUGGUUACAGCUGACCACAGCAGUAUUUCUGUUACAUUUUUUUUAUUGAUAAUUACAAAUAAAUAAAAAAAUCUCAAAAACAGCCUCAUUAAAUAUUCAGUAUGAAACUGCAGUUUUGCUUAUUUUAAAUCGACGUGGCUACUCGUGAAGAAAUAUAUAUAUUAAUAAUAUUUUUGAAUUUGUGUUACAAAAAGUCAAUUGGGUCUAUGAUUAAAUAUAAACCAUUGGUGGUGCUCACAACUGCUAGCAGCUCUGAGCCAUUGUCAGAAAUUCCACAUUUUUAUGACGGGGGUUAGUCCACCCAUAACAAAACAACUGUGGACGUCCCAUACAUUGGUGCUCGUUUUUUUUUAUCAAUUCCAGAGCGACGAUGGACUGAGUUGAUCUCCGACCAGUAUUUGUGCUCACAACCUCUCGAUUUGGAGUUCAGUGACUCAUGACAGGGACUUGGCCUCUCUCUAUGCAAAUAGUGCAGGAUUUCGUGACUCCUGGACAGUUGAUCAAUGGCACAUGCUCGCUGCUGUAUCAGUUUACCUGUGACCCUGACCUUUGGUUAAAUUCGAGGAAAAUUCCCUCUCUGAAAUGUGUAACUUACAACCAGCCGCAAGGCACUCAGUCUACUCUCCUGGCCACUGCUAUUGGUGUAUUUUUUUUGUUUGUUCUCGAAAACAGUAAAAUGCACUGAAAGGAGUUUGUUUUGCAGAAGCAUCGACACAUUUACAUUUUAAUUCGUCCGCCUGACGUUUAAGAACCCGUGUGACCACAGCCUAGUACAGUGAACGGUAUCAUUUACGCUUACAUUUUGAGCAGAACUCCUGUAUUUUGCAGCAAUGUGGGCGAUGGUCAUUGCAGAUGCUAUCAUCUUCGGGGUAAUCUGCAAAUUUACCUACAAUUUUUGUUGCAUAAUAAUCACGGGUGUUAGGAAGAAAUUAAGUAUAGGGGCGUGAGAAUGAGUUCUUGUGGACCUCACAAACAUUGUGGAUACUGUGUUCUCCAGAUGAUAGCACAUAUCUUUCUCCGCCUGGUAUUUGAAAGCAAAAGUUCGGGGUGCAUCUUAUAUUCAGAGAGGUGCGUGCGGCCAGAUUUGUAUAACUUGAUUGACACUGGGCACAGAGUUUUCGGUGGGUCUUGCUUUCCAGAGCAUCUAUAAUGCGGAGAAGAUGGUAAUAGGAGUUGUGGGUAGUACGGCUGCCGAUAAGAGGAGUUCAGCUCCAUAAGCUUUAUUUUCAAUAGUGUUUGUAUUAUUUUUGCCUAUGUUUAAAAAAAAAGUCUCACCGAGAGGUUGUGAAAUAAACUCGCUACACAACUGGAAUUGUGUCUGCUGCGAGGGAACUCUGGAGUGAAUUCGGAUUGGAGAAAUGGUAAAAAAAAAAAAAUCCAUGGAAAUGUAAUUGUAAAGGGAAGGUGCAUAAUGAUUUGACCGUUAGUGUGGUAGCUUUUUAACGGUAGUUAAAGACAAAUGUGACAUUUUGAUACCUGGAUUCUUACUCUAUUUCUGAGCUAGAGGCAAUUAAGCGGCGAUGUGAAAAUUGAUUUGAAUUCGAAAAAGCAAUUCUCCAUCGACGUAUUUUAAGUUUUCAAUUUACAUAAACAUUGCAAUGCAGUAUUUUACAAUACCCUGGAAAAGCUAAUUAUAAAGUGACUAUUAAAUCAAGUGAAUAUUAAAUGGGAUUACGUUACAUUGCGUCAGUUUCAGAGGGUAGUUUUUUAUUUUUAUCUUCGGUUAUAAGGUUUUUUCGGUUCUGCAUUUGCAAUAAAAUCGAUUGUUUUGUGUUCACGUGUGCAAAACAAACAAGGGGAGUUAGACCUUCAAGCAGGCAUUAAUUAAAAGUAUUUUUAAUUACAGUUGAACAGUUUCAGACUAAGGCAUCUCGUUAGCAUAAUGCAGCACAUAUGAAUGCACUUCAUAUGCAGUCAUUUAGUGUUCAGUGGCUUAUAUCCUUAAUACAACUUGAUUGUCUUGAAAUGCACCAGUGCUGUAUUAUUGUGUGAUGAAAUGACAACUGUGCAUUAGCAACUAAUACUGUAUUUUUUUUUGUUAUUUGUCAUCUGGCGCUCUUGUUGACAAAUGCACUGGCACCCGAGGUAGGGUUGUAUCUUCAUGUGUGAUUGUUACUGCAGACGGAGGCGUCGCGUAUCUAUAGGUGGUGUGUAGAUGCACCUACAAAUGUUUCUACAGUUGUGUUUAUAGGUGUGUUUGUAGGUGAGAUUUUACGUGAAUACAUGUAAGGAGCGGCAUUACUCUUCCCAGUUUGCCAAGUUUCGAAUCUUGUCCAUGAACAUCAUCGAUGGCAAUUGGUUUCUGAACCCUAGCUGGGGCUCUUCUCGGUUGUGAGCAACUUUAACUCAUGAACAACCAAAGCUCUGUGUGCAUAAUGCUGAUUCCACCGGCCCUUUGUGUGUUGUGCCAGCCUUCAUAGGAGCUUGAUAACGGCUCUUGCCCUAGAUAAACUUUGCCUGAGUGUGUGCGCGUGUGUGUGAACGUGCGUAUGAUUGUGUGCAUGCAAAACUGUGGGGAGCGGUGGCAUCGUGGUUGGGACACUGCGCUACAAACCCGGUACCUGGGUUCGAUUCUCAGUUACAGAUAACAUCGGUAGCGGCUGAUAUCCGAACAUGCCUUGGGCCUGCCAUAGGUCGACUCAGCCUCAAAUGAGUACCUGGUGCUGUAUGUGAACGUAAAAAAUGGGGAGACAAAGGCGGCUAAGCGUGGCACUGGUCACACCACCCUUUUGCUGCUAAGCUCGCUAACAGCACUUGCCCCAAAAGUCUUUGUAGACUAUAUAGGGGAUAUAUGGCUAAUGUAUGCAAAAAUGCCCCAAAACCCCAUGCUGUAGUGUAAAUACUUUUAAUUGAAAACGCACAAUAAGCUUACUUGGUCUUCGGUCUUGAACUAUGCUUAAACCCUUUCCUGACAUCAGCUUCACAGCCAUUUAUAACUCUGUGAUUCUCGGAAGUGGCUUUGCUUGCGUAUGAAGUUUGGUGCUGGGUUCCACAAUCAUUUGUUUACCAUUGGGUCACGCUACGGGGUGCUCUCCCCAUGCGGUUACGCAUAACAAUAAAAUAUUAAAAAUUCAAGCAAAAUCCAUUAUCUACCACAUUGAGAUGUUAUUCGUUAACAUUUGUAGGAAGUUCAAUGAAUGUACAUCAAAUUUACUUAAAUCUGCUUUUAGUAAGGCUAUGGCCAAAUCACUUGGAAUGCAUUCAAUAUUGACAGAUCCUAAAAUCUUAACAGGAUUUAGCCUGGAUAGGUCUAAGAUGGUCAAUCCGACACGCACAAACACAGGUCUUGUGCAGCUCUGUGGAGGGACGUUAUCUCUCGGCAAAUGGGCAGUACAGCAAAAUAUAUUGUCGUACAGUACUGUACUAUAUUCAAACAUGCUCCACGAAUUCACGAACCCACGUUGACCAACGUGGUGCAGUAUGGUCAAAUAAUCCCCACUACCGACACGACAUAGGCAAGGCCUCGUAUCCAGGAGGGGGUUUUGACUAAAAUUGGCAGUGCAUGUGCACGAGUAAGUGACCCCGGUGACCUGAGUUCGAUUACCACUCACGGACAACACCAGUGACGAAUAUCCGAACCGGUUCUAGGACUUCCCAGGGUUGACUCAGCCUCAAAUGAGUGUCUGGUGCGGUGUGUAAACAUUGCCACUGGGGAGACAAAGGCGGCCGGGCGUGGUGCUGGCCACACACCCCCUCGUGUGCCGUGCCGGGCUUCAUAGGUGCUCGCAGACUGCACUUGCCCCAACAGUCUGGUUAAGGCUAUAUGGGAGAUCUAUCUCUUUGUAUGUAUGUUGAACUUCUUUCGUACCGUAAGUAGCCAACUGUGCUAAUCGGAGGUGGCAGGGGAAGGACAACAAACUAAACACAAAAAGCAGGAUGAGUGUAAGCAGGGCUGGUUUGGGUCGCUCGCUCAUGGCUGCAAUGGCCAUGUUAGAGGAGCUGUGUUAGAUCCUGUUGAGAUCCUGGAUUGCGUGUAAUCUUUUUUUUUCUUCCAAAUCUUAUUUUAUUUCGAUCGCGCUAUCACCGUCGUUGCGAGACAAAAAAAAGUCGGUUCGGGAGAUGAAUGUCCACAGCCACCCUCCUCGGUAAUGAAACCAUGCUCUCAAGUCCACAAGCGAGCUCCUGUGUUGUGUAUGUAGUUCAUCUAACAUGCCAGUCACAUUAUAAAAUAUGACCGCUUCGAGUGACAUUGACGUGCACUGACUUCUAUGCAAAACAAAUGUAUUAAAUGCGUUUGACUAAAUUAAUAUUAGUCCUUAAAUAUUUGACAUGUAAACAACACAAGCACUUAAUUCGUUUGUUGGAGGUGCAUGCAAAUGUAUACUUUUGCAUGAAAUAUACAUUAUGAUUAGCCUACCUUGUAGACUUAGGCUUAAUAUUUAGUUACUGCGGCAGCGAUUGCUGGGAGGGUGAUAACCUUGGCGGGACAUGAAAACCUGGACCGUGGUGCAGAGAAUGGACUGGAGUUAGAGGGGGACACUGCUUGAGUAUUAAGAUCUGUGUGUGUGGUUUGUAGUAAUAGGUUUUUACCCUUUCAACUGGUACAAAACUGACACCUUUAUACAAGGCAUCAUGUUUGCAAUAACCACAACACAAGCAGUCAAAAUGCAAACAAAAAUAAACAACUCUGAUGAUGAUAAUGAUAUGCACUGUCCUUGAAGUUGAUUGGUCCACACCCGAGACAGCUUUUCUUAGAGCCUAGUCUCCAUUGGUGUUGGACCAGAUGACGCCAAAAUGCUCUAAGAAAAGCUGUCUCGGGUGUGGACCAAUCAACUUCAAGGACAGUGCAUAUCAUUAUCAUCAUCAGAGUUGUUUAUUUUUGUUUGCAUUUUGACUGCUUGUGUUGUGGUUAUUGCAAACAUGAUGCCUUGUAUAAAGGUGUCAGUUUUUGUACCAGUUGAAAGGGUAAAACCCUAUUACUAUAUUUUGCCACUGGUAAAGGAGAUGUCUCAUAGUGUGUGGUGUGUUUUGAAAUGUUAGGCUGUCUCUCGAGAAUUGUUCAUCAUGGUAAAUAACAGAGCACUUACUCACUUUAGCUGGACUGUUUACUGAAAUGUGCACAGCGAAAGCAUUUAAGAACCUGUGAAGCCGAGGUUAAAGGUGGCGUGCCUUAAUUCACCCACACAUAUGAACGUUAAACGUGUUGAAGCUGAUAGGUGCUUUCAAAAAGUAUUGCAGUUCUAACUUUGAACUCUAUACCAAAGCAUGCUACGUGAUAUUCUUUUUUAGUAAGGUCGGUGUAUAACUUGCUAUGUUUCUGCUGCGCCGUGUAUUCUUGUAUUUUUGUUUAAUUUUCAAUAAAUAUACUCUUGCCAAA